Molecule: unclassified non-coding RNA, 332 nt
Filed under: soil metagenome
Description: partial contains 5.8S ribosomal RNA, internal transcribed spacer 2, and large subunit ribosomal RNA
Rfam family: 5.8S ribosomal RNA (bases 1-120)
Source: RNAcentral
GAUGAAGAACGUAGCAAAAUGCGAUAAGUAAUGUGAAUUGCAGAAUUCAGUGAAUCAUCGAAUCUUUGAACGCACAUUGCGCCCGCCAGUAUUCUGGCGGGCAUGCCUGUUCGAGCGUCAUUUCAACCCUCAAGCACAGCUUGGUGUUGGGACUCGCGUUAAUUCGCGUUCCCCAAAUUGAUUGGCGGUCACGUCGAGCUUCCAUAGCGUAGUAGUAAAACCCUCGUUACUGGUAAUCGUCGCGGCCACGCCGUUAAACCCCAACUUCUGAAUGUUGACCUCGGAUCAGGUAGGAAUACCCGCUGAACUUAAGCAUAUCAGUAAGCGGAGGA